Pan troglodytes (chimpanzee) is the source of this 313-nucleotide long non-coding RNA. RefSeq lists it as uncharacterized. The transcript is spliced from 3 exons. The record is from RefSeq and is a predicted model, not a curated record. Lineage: Eukaryota; Metazoa; Chordata; Mammalia; Primates; Hominidae.
UGAAGUUCAAGGGGCUGGAGAGCAUGAAUAAUUCAGUAUCCUGGGGAAGGGGGUAGUGGGUAGAGAGGGAGCUGAAAAGGCAACACGGGACAAUUCAUAAAAGGACUUAUGAGCUAAUACUCCUCAGGAACUACAGCAGGAACACACCAGAAAGCCAAGAUAAUCCACAGACCCUUUGAAGGAACUGGAUCACCACGGCAGGCUCCCUGAGAUGCCAAAAAAACUUUGCUGGCAAGAUGGCCGAAUAGGAACAGCUCUGGUCUGUAGUUCCCAGCGAGAUCGACACAGAAGGCAGGUGAUUUCUGCAUUUCCA